AGCGAACGCUGGCGGCAGGCUUAACACAUGCAAGUCGAACGGGCAUAGCAAUAUGUCAGUGGCAGACGGGUGAGUAACGCGUGGGAACGUACCUUUUGGUUCGGAACAACACAGGGAAACUUGUGCUGAUACCGGAUAAGCCCUUACGGGGAAAGAUUUAUCGCCGAAAGAUCGGCCCGCGUCUGAUUAGCUAGUUGGUAGGGUAAUGGCCUACCAAGGCGACGAUCAGUAGCUGGUCUGAGAGGAUGAUCAGCCACAUUGGGACUGAGACACGGCCCAAACUCCUACGGGAGGCAGCAGUGGGGAAUAUUGGGCAAUGGGCGAAAGCCUGAUCCAGCCAUGCCGCGUGAGUGAUGAAGGCCCUAGGGUUGUAAAGCUCUUUUGUGCGGGAAGAUAAUGACGGUACCGCAAGAAUAAGCCCCGGCUAACUUCGUG
Molecule: ribosomal RNA, 435 nt
Filed under: uncultured bacterium
Lineage: Bacteria
Description: partial 16S ribosomal RNA
Rfam family: Bacterial small subunit ribosomal RNA
Source: RNAcentral